This 497-nucleotide ribosomal RNA is filed under the name uncultured bacterium. RNAcentral describes it as "partial 16S ribosomal RNA". It matches the Rfam family "Bacterial small subunit ribosomal RNA", at positions 28 to 507 of the family's 1533-position model. The record is from RNAcentral.
GAUGAACGCUGGCGGCGUGCCUAAUACAUGCAAGUCGAGCGAACGGACGAGAAGCUUGCUUCUCUGAUGUUAGCGGCAGACGGGUGAGUAACACGUGGAUAACCUACCUAUAAGACUGGGAUAACUUCGGGAAACCGGAGCUAAUACCGGAUAAUAUUUUGAACCGCAUGGUUCAAAAGUGAAAGACGGUCUUGCUGUCACUUAUAGAUGGAUCCGCGCUGCAUUAGCUAGUUGGUAAGGUAACGGCUUACCAAGGCAACGAUGCAUAGCCGACCUGAGAGGGUGAUCGGCCACACUGGAACUGAGACACGGUCCAGACUCCUACGGGAGGCAGCAGUAGGGAAUCUUCCGCAAUGGGCGAAAGCCUGACGGAGCAACGCCGCGUGGGUGAUGAAGGUCUUCGGAUCGUAAAACUCUGUUAUUAGGGAAGAACAUAUGUGUAAGUAACUGUGCACAUCUUGACGGUACCUAAUCAGAAAGCCACGGCUAACUACGUG